Molecule: ribosomal RNA, 497 nt
Filed under: uncultured bacterium
Lineage: Bacteria
Description: partial 16S ribosomal RNA
Rfam family: Bacterial small subunit ribosomal RNA
Source: RNAcentral
GAUGAACGCUGGCGGCGUGCCUAAUACAUGCAAGUCGAGCGAACAGAUGUGGAGCUUGUUCCUCUUACGUUAGCGGCGGACGGGUGAGUAACGCGUGGAUAACCUACCUUUAAGACUGGGAUAACUUCGGGAAACGGGAGCUAAUACCGCAUAAUAUAUUGAACCGCAUGGUUUAAUAUUGAAAGACGCUUUUGCUUUCACUUAUAGAUGUAUCCGCUCCGCAUUAGCUAGUUGUUAAGGUAAGGGCUUCCCAAGGCAACGAUGCGUAGCCGACCUGAGAGGGUGAUCGGCCACACUGGAACUGGGACAGGGUCAAGACUCCUACGGGAGGCAGCAGUAGGGAAUCUUCCGCAAUGGGCGAAAGCCUGACGGAGCAACGCCGCGUGAGUGAUGAAGGUCUUCGGAUCGUAAACCUCUGUUAUUGGGGAAGAAGAAGUGUGUAAGUGACUAUGCACGUCUUGACGGUACCUACUCAGAAAGCCACGGCUAACUACGUG